This 344-nucleotide ribosomal RNA is filed under the name uncultured bacterium. RNAcentral's name for it is "bacterial SSU rRNA". It matches the Rfam family "Bacterial small subunit ribosomal RNA", at positions 28 to 375 of the family's 1533-position model. The record is from RNAcentral.
GAUGAACGCUAGCGGCAGGCUUAACACAUGCAAGUCGAGGGGUAUAGUUCUUCAGAACUAGAGACCGGCGCACGGGUGCGUAACGCGUAUGCAAUCUACCUUUUGCAGAGGGAUAGCCCAGAGAAAUUUGGAUUAAAUACCUCAUAGUAUGUGAGAAUGGCAUCAUUUUCACAUUAAAGUCACAACGGCAAAAGAUGAGCAUGCGUCCCAUUAGCUUGUUGGUAAGGUAACGGCUUACCAAGGCUAUGAUGGUAGGGGUCCUGAGAGGAGGAUCCCCCACCACUGGUACUGAGACACGGACCAGACUCCUACGGAGGCAGCAGUGAGGAAUAUUGGACAAUAGG